ACAAAACAUAUAGAGUGUAAACUUAGCUUAAGUAUUUUUUUAUAUAGCAAUACAUUUUGUAGUUGCCUUAAAAUUUGUAUCUGGCAACUCUCUCUCUUCCUUCUCGAUCCGAACUAACCGGCACGUCCCGCGAUCACUUUGUAAUUUUAUUUAAUUCACAACUUCAAUAAAAGUUCAUUAAAACAUAAAAGCGCAUUUUGUAUUCUCCAUGCGCAAGUGGUCCUUCGAGGGAAAAGCAUCAGUGUCCGAUGUUUCGUCGAAAUAGUGUUCGCGGCAAGUGCGUGCGCGAGCUGGCUGGCCGUCUAUACCGGCUGGUAUCUCGUCGUGGCAGUGCCUAGGCUGGCGCUGCUGGCCUGCAACUUCGUUCUAUCUAUCAUAGAACGAAAAUCAUACACGGAUUGGAGAAAGAAGCGGCGACCUCAUCAAAAACCGCAAGUAAUUCGGUAUAAGUCGAAUUUUUCGACCACCGGCAUUCUUCAUUUUUCAAUAUAGAGUGAAGUUGGCGCGAUCCGCAGCCAUCUUGCGGAACUUCGCAGCGGUUUUUGACAUUUUGUGUCAUCUGUCACGUUUGACAUUGACGUUUAUUAAAAAUCAAAACAAAGUGCUAUCAACGUCUCUGUGCCUUCGUUUAAAAGUGUUUGUGCCUUCGUUCGUCGUAAAUAAAUAUUAAAAUGUCUACCGAAAUGGAGAAAUUAAAAAAAUUACGUGUUAUACGCUCACAGUGCAAAGGAACCAUUACAAGAAUCGACAAUUUUGUCAAGGAUCCCGUAUGUUUGGCAGCCGCCAGCGCCGAUAUAUUGGAGGCGCGUAAAGAGAAGCUCAUUUCCACCUUAAAAGAUUACGAAAAGGUGCAAAUGGACAUCCUAAGUAUUGAUGAAGGCGACGGUGAACAGGUGGGGGAUAUUGAAGAGAAAUACUAUUCCAUAUUAGCAAAAAUAAAUAGCUCUCUUAAAAUGUUAAACACAAAAGUGACUUCGGAGUGCCACAACGCAUCCACAUGUAAGUUACCCACAAUUGAAAUACCCUUUUACGACGGAAAGGAUUUCACUAAAUUUAAACCCUUUUUCGACUUAUUUACUGCUGUCAUUGAUCAGAAUAGCUCGCUGUCUGAUGUGCAAAAGCUUUUUUAUUUGAGAAAGUACCUACAGGACGAUGCGUUGGCGGUUAUUCUGAACUUGCCGUUGGUAAAUGAGUCAUAUAAAGAAGCAAUACAAUUAUUAAAAAAGAGAUUUGACAACAAGGCUAGAUUAGUUGCAAAUCAUAUAGGUAUAUUGUUAGAUAUUUCUAAUAUACAAAAGGGCACAGCGGCUUCUAUACGAACAUUUGUUUCACAAAUAAAUCAACAGAUGCAUGCAUUAAAAAAUUUAGAUGAACCCGUUGAUAAAUGGGACAUGCUUUUAAUAUCAAUUUUGACUCGAAAGUUAGAUCAAUUCACACACCGGGCAUACCAAUUAGACCGGGACUCUGACACCAUGCCUACGAUGGCUGGUUUCAUUGAAUAUUUAGAAAAGCGUGCUAUAGCACUCGAAGAUAGUCAUCAAAAUAAACAUAGUACCUACUAUGAUGGUGCUAACAAACAUCUUAAUAAUAAGAGUACUUGCUAUGAAGGUACUCACAAAUCAAUACCUAAGGUUACAAAUGUGGUAUCGAAGUCGUUGCCGCCCUGUAGGUAUUGUGAAAAUAAAGACCAUCAGAUAUAUAACUGUCCCAUAUUUAAAAUUUUACCUAUUGCUCAGAGGCAAUCCUAUGUAAAUGAAAAACACAUGUGUAAUGUAUGCCUCAAUAACCAUGAUGGGAAAUGUAAAUUUACUUUUAAAUGUAAAAUGUGUAAACAGGGCCACAACACAUUGCUGCAUCAGGAGCGCAAUGUGAAUGUGGACAAGCCCAGGACAAAUAAUGAUGACAGUCAACAGCCACUAUCAUCUGAUGCUGGGCUGCAUAAAAACUGAAAAUGGACCGGUAUUCCAGAAUACCAUGUUAGGAUAUAUUGUCGGAGGAAGUAUCCCCGAGCAAGGACACCACUGCGUGUUCAAUCCGUCGAGUCGAACCUCACCUCAUCGUGUGGUCUUUGAUGGAUCGAUGAGAUCUAGAAACGGGACAUCGCUGAAUCAAGUCAUGCUGAACGGACCUGUUGUACAGAGUGAGCUCUUUGAUAUCCUUAUUUUAUUCAGGACUUAUCCCUUUAUUUUAACUUGUGACAUUCAAAAAAUGUUUCGCAAUGUUUUUAUAAAUGAACAUCAACGCGGACUUCAAAACAUUUUAUGGCGCGACUCGCCCAAAGACCCUAUCAACUGCUUGCAGCUUCAAACUGUUACAUACGGUUUAAAGUCGAGUACAUUUUUAGCUACAAGAGCUCUAAAUGAGCUAGCUAAUAUGCAUAAGGAUCAAUUUCCUUUGGCCGCUCAGGCUAUUUAUAAAAAUACAUUUGUUGAUGAUGUGCUGACUGGCGCUGAUGAUGUAGAGACACUUCAAGAGCUGAAAAGGCAGAUUGUAGAGCUUCUGAAGUUAGGUAGUUUCUCGUUACAUAAAUGGUGCUCGAACCACGCUCCAGUUUUAAGCGAUAUACCAGUUGAGCACAGACAAAUUGAUAGUAUAGAGAUAGGUCAAAAUGACACCGUGAAGACAUUAGGUCUCACGCUCGAAAUAAAUUCAGAUAAAUUGAGUUUCUCUUGCCCUGAAAUUGAUGAGGCAACAAUACUGAAUACAAAAAGAAAAAUUCUCAGCUUUAUUGGGAAAAUGUUUGACCCACUUGGUUUAAUUGGCCCAGUAAUAGUGGUGGCCAAACUAUUCAUGCAAGAACUCCAUAGCUCUAUGCGGAAAGAUUGGGACUCUACAAUCCCAAGUGAAAAGUUCCUAUACUGGUCAAACUUUUUAAAUAAUUUGAAGCAAAUGGGUCAAAUUAAAAUAGAAAGAUGUGUAAACCUUAAAUUAGUAUCAAAUGUAGAGCUAGUAGGGUAUGCCGAUGCAUCUCUUAAAGCUUUCGGGAGCUGUCUCUACCUAAGAGUUUUUAUGACUGACGGUUCGGUUCAAGUGAACUUAUUAUGUUCCAAAUCCCGAGUGUCCCCACUUUCGAAAUCUCACACCAUACCUCAAUUGGAGCUUUCUGCUGCUCUACUUUUAGCGCAAUUGGCAAGUAGGGUCAGUAAGAUUUUAUAUGAUAGACUUCCUCAUAAAAUAUUUCUUUAUAGUGAUUCACAAAUUGUAUUGUGGUGGAUCAAGACAGCGGCAGUUAAAAGUACCGUAUACGUAAAAAAUAGAGUCAAACAAAUUGUAAAGCUGACUGAAAACUCGCAAUGGCUGUACGUUAGGUCAAAAGAUAAUCCUGCUGACUUAUUAUCAAGGGGAGUUGAACCAAAUAAGCUGCAGGAGUGUGAUUUAUGGUGGCAUGGUUCGCCAAGUCUUUGUGAUGUAAAUUAUACACAUACUAACUUAGAAGAGUUUAAUUAUGACGAUAUCAUGACACAUGUAGAGUCGCAUAGUGCUUCAUUGGAUGCGUCUUCUGACGAUGUAGAGGGAAUUUUGUGCCAUACCACAAAUGUAGAGCCUCUAGAUUUAUUAAGAAAUUAUUCUAACAUUAGUAAACUUCAAAAAGUGAUAGGUUUUAUUUAUAGAUUUUACAAUAACUGCUUGUACAAAGACAACAAAAUAACAAGUAGUAAUUUAACUGCAAGGGAAUUGCGUGACUCUAUGACGAAGAUUGUACGUUGUACACAGGCAGAGCAUUUUAGUAAAGAAUUAGUCCUGCUCUCAAAAAAUAAGCCUGUCACAAUUAGUGAUCAAUUAGCAUUUCUAGAUAAAAAUGGUGUUAUUAGGGCCGUGGGGAGACUGCAAAAUGCAGAGAACCUGUCUUAUGACAAGCGGCAUCCGUCUAUACUUCCAAAAAACUCCUUUAUCACCGAUCUCAUUAUAGAACGAGAGCACUUAAGACUUAUGCAUGCAGGCGCUAGGCUAGUAUUAGGCUCUCUAUCUCAGAGACAUCAUCUUGUGAAUGGUAUACGAGAGGUAAAAAAGGUGGUGCAUAAAUGUAUAAAAUGUAUACGUAUGAAAGCUGAAGCAGCAAAGCAGUUGAUGGGAGAUCUGCCUAAAGAAAGAAUCACUCAGAGCAGGCCCUUUCAGCAUGUAGGAAUUGAUUUCUGCGGUCCGUUUAACGUAAAGGUCUCUCGCAUUAGGAAGCCUAUUAUUACAAAAGGCUACAUUGCGCUUUUUGUUUGCUUUGCUGUAAAAGCGAUACACUUAGAACUUGUUUCUGAUCUCACGACUGAAACCUUCUUAGCAUGUCUUAAACGAUUUAUUUCUCGGCGUGGCAUGCCCACAAACAUAUUUUGUGACAACGCAAAAACCUUUAAGGGUGCUUGUAAUACAUUAAAAGACUUGUAUGACCUAUUUUCCUCCAAAGAUUGUAGAGACUCUGUUAACAAAUACUGCUCAGAUAACUAUAUAACGUUUAAUUGGAUACCGAGUUAUUCUCCAACGUUUGGAGGAAUUUGGGAAAGUGGCGUCAAAAGUGUAAAACACCACUUUAAAAGAAUAGUAGGCAAUCUAUGUUUGACCUACGAACAACUUAACACUGUAAUCAUAGAGAUAGAAGGAAUUUUGAACAGUAGACCUAUACUAUCUGCUAUUUCUAAUGAUUGUGAUUAUAUAACUCCUGGACACUUCAUUUGUGGCGCAGUCUUGACUGCUUAUCCUGAAAUUGAUCUCACUGAAACCUCUGUAAAUCAGGUUCCAUUUUGGAAAAUGUGCACUAAGCUUAAGCAAGACUUUUGGAAAACCUGGUCUCAAAGUUAUUUGACCCAGCUUCAAAGCCGCCCAAAAUGGAAAUACCAGCAAACUAAUUUAAAGGAAGGUGACCUGGUAAUUGUUAAAGAUAUGAACACCUCUCCAUUAAAUUGGCCCAUGGCUCGUAUUGUAAAAACGUUCCCUGGUAGGGACGGAUUAGUAAGGGUAGCUGAUGUUAAAAUAAAUAAUAAGAUAUUUCGUAGAGCCAUAACAAAGUUAUGUCCUUUACCUGUAAUGUAGUAUUAAUAACUUGUCUAGUGUUUAGGUUCCUAUUGGCGGGUCCACUCUUUACCUGUAUGUAAUAUUGCCUGGCCCCAACUAUGUUUAAUACAAAACAUAUAGAGUGUAAACUUAGCUUAAGUAUUUUUUUAUAUAGCAAUACAUUUUGUAGUUGCCUUAAAAUUUGUAUCUGGCAACUCUCUCUCUUCCUUCUCGAUCCGAACUAACCGGCACGUCCCGCGAUCACUUUGUAAUUUUAUUUAAUUCA
Cydia splendana is the source of this 5266-nucleotide RNA transcript. RefSeq lists it as uncharacterized. NCBI's taxonomy places the organism in Eukaryota, Metazoa, Arthropoda, Insecta, Lepidoptera, Tortricidae. The transcript has 3 exons. The record is from RefSeq and is a predicted model, not a curated record.